Molecule: long non-coding RNA, 1123 nt
Organism: Scylla paramamosain (green mud crab)
Lineage: Eukaryota; Metazoa; Arthropoda; Malacostraca; Decapoda; Portunidae
Exons: 3
Source: RefSeq, a predicted model, not a curated record
UCAGUCUAUGCCCAGUUCGGAUCACGUGCGUGGUGCUAGCCGUCCACACCCACUCGGCAUUUUUCCCUCCUGGCACGAUGUAACUUGGUGAUGAGGGACGCAACACCAGGACGAUCUCAGAACACUAGUGGUGCCGGUGUCGCGGUGGUGGAGUGGCUUGCUACGUAUCCAAAUUUGCCACCAUGCGGGGUUCGAAUCCACAUCAGGGGUACAGCAGCCAGCCAGCCAGCCAGCCAGCCAGCCAACGACGCAGCCACCGCCCCGCCUGUCCAGUCAACCCACUCCAGCAAGUACUGUUUUCAAAAGCCACUUAGAGCACUGGUCGUGUUCUCAUGGGUGUUCUUCCUGCUGAGGACACAGAAUCCUUGUUAAACUCUCAUUGCAGUCACGGUCUCGGGACCUCGAGAUUGCAUCACCGUAGUCUGGUAACACACCUGUCAACACUGUGUCCGAAAACCGUGCUCGCGUUAUGCUAAUGGAACCCUAAUCACUAUUGUUUAUAUAUACAGGCAGCAAUGAUGAACACAGCUAAGUAUCGUCCAUUUUAAAGUUUCAGAUAAUAAGAUAAAUGCUGGUUGUACGUUUCCUUAAUAGUGAUGAGUUUAUUCCGAAGACGUAUACUCAUGCACGGUGUUGGACAGGCUGUGGAGAUCAUCUAGGCCUGAUCGGCGAAGUGUUGGAACUUUUCUUUCCUUGAGUGUUCUGCCAGGGGUUCGAUCCUCAGUGAAAGCUUCUCCUGGGUAAUUUUGUCCCGUCUUCAAAUCAGUGUCCUCAGUGUUCCGAAUCCUGGCCACUGUCCGAGGUUAGGAAGGGCAUCCACUCAGGGUUACGGUUCUCAAGUGCAAAAACCACUGUCCUUCCGUAGUAAGAGGCGCAUUUCUGACCCUAAUAGAUAAGAAAAUCACACAAAAAAAAAUAAAAGCAUAAAAUAUAUACAUAGCCAGUGAAUGAGUGACUAGACAUGCUUCCGUACACACACACGCACGCACCACACCACACCCACGCACGCACUCACGCACGCAAUUUAUUAUAAUCCUCCAUUGAUGUCCAGAAUAAAAUCAAACUGAUGUUCUGUUAAUGUUGAUAUGGCGAAGCAAGGCAUUACAUCAAAGCAAGAUGAAUU